RNAcentral lists this ribosomal RNA (292 nucleotides) under uncultured Acidobacteriota bacterium. RNAcentral describes it as "uncultured Acidobacteria bacterium partial 16S ribosomal RNA". The record is from RNAcentral. Lineage: Bacteria; Pseudomonadati; Acidobacteriota.
GGACUACUAGGGUAUCUAAUCCUGUUUGCUACCCACGCUUUCGUGUUUCAGCGUCAGUAACGGUCCAGAGAGCCGUCUGCACCACCGGUAUUCCUCCUGAUAUCUACGCAUUUCACCGCUACACCAGGAAUUCUACUCUCCCAUCCCGUACUCUAGCCUUCCAGUUUUCGGCGCACCCUCCCGGUUGAGCCGGGAGAUUUCACACCAAACUUAGAGAGCCGCCUACACACCCUUUACGCCCAGUAACUCCGAACAACGCUCGCUGCCUACGUAUUACCGCGGCUGCUGGCAC